CCUACGGGAGGCAGCAGUGAGGAAUAUUGGUCAAUGGACGAGAGUCUGAACCAGCCAAGUAGCGUGAAGGAUGACUGCCCUAUGGGUUGUAAACUUCUUUUAUAUGGGAAUAAAAUGUUCCACGUGUGGGCUUUUGUAUGUACCAUAUGAAUAAGGAUCGGCUAACUCCGUGCCAGCAGCCGCGGUAAUACGGAGGAUCCGAGCGUUAUCCGGAUUUAUUGGGUUUAAAGGGAGCGUAGGUGGAUUGUUAAGUCAGUUGUGAAAGUUUGCGGCUCAACCGUAAAAUUGCAGUUGAAACUGGCAGUCUUGAGUACAGGAGAGGUAGGCGGAAUUCGUGGUGUAGCGGUGAAAUGCUUAGAUAUCACGAAGAACUCCGAUUGCGAAGGCAGCUCACUGGACUGCAACUGACACUGAGGCUCGAAAGUGUGGGUAUCAAACAGGAUUAGAUACCCCAGUAGUC
Molecule: ribosomal RNA, 460 nt
Filed under: uncultured bacterium
Lineage: Bacteria
Description: partial 16S ribosomal RNA
Rfam family: Bacterial small subunit ribosomal RNA
Source: RNAcentral